RNAcentral lists this ribosomal RNA (301 nucleotides) under uncultured bacterium. Its description in RNAcentral is "partial 16S ribosomal RNA". It matches the Rfam family "Bacterial small subunit ribosomal RNA", at positions 509 to 807 of the family's 1533-position model. The record is from RNAcentral.
CAGUAGCCGCGGGAAUCCGAAGGGUGCAAGCGUUACUCGGAAUUACUGGGCGUAAAGCGUGCGUAGGUGGUGGUUUAAGUCCGUUGUGAAAGCCCUGGGCUCAACCUGGGAAUUGCAGUGGAUACUGGGUCACUAGAGUGUGUCAGAGGAUGGUGGAAUUCCCGGUGUAGCGGUGAAAUGCGUAGAGAUCGGGAGGAACAUCAGUGGCGAAGGCGGCCAUCUGGGACAACACUGACGCUGAGGCACGAAAGCGAGGGGAGCAAACAGGAUUAGAUACCCGCGUAGUCCCUGUCUCUUAUAC